RNAcentral lists this ribosomal RNA (253 nucleotides) under uncultured bacterium. RNAcentral describes it as "partial 16S ribosomal RNA". It matches the Rfam family "Bacterial small subunit ribosomal RNA", at positions 524 to 776 of the family's 1533-position model. The record is from RNAcentral.
UACGUAGGGUGCGAGCGUUGUCCGGAUUUACUGGGCGUAAAGAGCGUGUAGGCGGCCACACAGGUCUGCUGUGAAAACUCGAGGCUCAACCUCGAGCUGUCGGUGGAAACCGUGUGGCUAGAGUCCGGAAGAGGAGAGUGGAAUUCCCGGUGUAGCGGUGAAAUGCGCAGAUAUCGGGAAGAACACCCGUGGCGAAGGCGGCUCUCUGGGACGGUACUGACGCUGAGACGCGAAAGCGUGGGGAGCGAACAGG